This 262-nucleotide long non-coding RNA is filed under the name Nicotiana benthamiana. RNAcentral describes it as "long non-coding RNA (NBEN_LNC011633)". The record is from RNAcentral. Lineage: Eukaryota; Viridiplantae; Streptophyta; Magnoliopsida; Solanales; Solanaceae.
UGCACCUCACCAUAACCACCAGCAUCAGCCCCAAUAUGACCAUUGAAGUCCCCUCCAAUAACUAACUUCUCAGAUUGGGGAAUACUACUCACCAGGUCAUCCAAGUCCUCCCAAAAGCGCCUCUUAGCCUCUAUGUCUAAACCCCGCUUGCGGCGCGUAAGCGCUGAUGACGUUGAGGACGCAACGCCCAAUAACCAACUUAAUAGACGUUAAUCUAUCAUUCACUCUCCUAACCUCGACCACGGACUCCCUUAGAUCCCUA